AUUUAAUCCCCUGACCUCCCAUCCUUCACAUUUUGCUUUGUUUUGUUUUUGUUUUUCUUAUUUGAAUGCCCAUGCUUGUUUUAAUUGGGAUGGUUGCCAUUUGCUCUGCACAGGGCUGGGGGCUGGCAAUUAAGAUGCAUUGUGCUUUAAUUGUAUUGACUUUGAAAGGCGAGGAGAAGCUUUAUAAACAUCCAUAUUGUUAUAUUACAAAGGAGGAAGAAGAAUGAGUGUUCAUCUGACAGUGCAUCUUAUAGCUGCGGGGAAGAAGGAGGCGGAGGAGGGCUUGCACAAUGAUGGAGCUGACACAUCAGCAUUAAGCUGCUGUUCCCUCAGAGGAAAAGCAAGUUGUCAUGUCCCUGUGCCUGGUCAUGUCAGAAUCCACCCAGCCCACAAAGCUCUUUUGUUUAUGUGAACAUCAUUUCACUCCACAUCACUGGCCCUAGCCACUUUUUUGGUAUAGAAACCCUUGCACAGUGGGUCAUAGAGAUGCCCAGGUUAGGAUCCGUAGACUUCACUUUCUCCUCCUCCUCUCUUCCUUCUCAUCCUCUUAUUCCUCCUCCUCCUUCUCCUCCACUUCUUUCUUAUUUCCACUUCCUUCUCCUUUUCCUACCCCUCCUCCUCUCUCCUUCCGAAACAGUGUCCCACUAUGUCGCUAGGCUUGGAACUGACCCUCCUGCCUCUGCCUUCCCAGCCAGGAUUACAGGCAGCAUAGCAGCCUGCACUCGUCCUUUCAGAAGCCUGUUCUUUUUCCUCUCCUCUUGGGCCAGGAGAAAAGGUCAGCAGUUGCAUCAGAACAGGAGAGAAAGUCUGAAGACUACUUCCAGUUCUGAGGGCUGAGUGUGGUCUUGGUGAAUGAAAGCCGUUUUUGACCCUCUGGGAAUGACUUUACCUCCUGAACUGCAAGAGGGUUUUUCAUACAUAUAAAAAGUCAUGUGCUAAUCCCAGCACUCAGGAGGCAGAGGCAGGUGGACCUCUGUGAGUUCGAGACCAGCCUGGUCUACAAGAGCUAGUUCCAGGACAGCCUCCAAAGCCACAGAGAAACCCUGCCUCGAAACGCCACCCCCCCCCAAAAAAAUCAUAAAGCCCUGUGCUGCCACUCUCUAGGCUCAGUCUCAUCACCUGUCAAAUGUGGGGCUUCUCUUAGACUGUCAUCUCAGGACAUUGGAACUCAGGAGCUCUUUGAGGGUGGGAAUAGGAUUACCCAACUGGAAGCUGGGUGGAUGUAGCAUGACAUCCUAGUUUCCUCUUUUAGUGCAAAGAAACCCCAUCAGCUUUAUAUCUUGGGGGGUUGUAUGAAAGUUUUCUGUGAGAGA
RNAcentral lists this long non-coding RNA (1313 nucleotides) under Cricetulus griseus (Chinese hamster). RNAcentral's name for it is "lncRNA (ENSCGRG00015036744.1)". The record is from RNAcentral. Lineage: Eukaryota; Metazoa; Chordata; Mammalia; Rodentia; Cricetidae.